This 215-nucleotide non-coding RNA is filed under the name Shouchella clausii. Its description in RNAcentral is "Bacillus clausii T-box sequence". It matches the Rfam family "T-box leader". Rfam says of the family: Uncharged tRNA acts as the effector for transcription antitermination of genes in the T-box leader family. T-boxes are found upstream of many aminoacyl-tRNA synthetase genes and some amino acid biosynthetic genes usually in Gram-positive bacteria. Lineage: Bacteria; Bacillati; Bacillota; Bacilli; Caryophanales; Bacillaceae. The record is from RNAcentral.
UAAAAAGCGUUGAUAGAGAGUAGUAAGCUUAAAACCGCCUUUCAGGGAGGGAAUGCCAAAGACUGGAAGCGUUUCUAUGGUAGGAUGGGCCGAAUUCACUCUUGAGCUGGCAUCUCUAAAAGAUGUUCCCGGUUUAGAGCCGUUAUGGACAAUGAAGUUGCACUUUUUUAGCAAGUGCAAACGAAGGGUGGUACCACGGAGCUUUCGUCCCUUUU